Molecule: small nuclear RNA, 107 nt
Organism: Camelus dromedarius (Arabian camel)
Lineage: Eukaryota; Metazoa; Chordata; Mammalia; Artiodactyla; Camelidae
Source: Ensembl
GCGCUCGCUUCGGCAGCACAUAUACUAAAAUUGGAAUGAUACAGAGCAGAUUAGCAUGGCCCCUGUGCAAGGAUGACAUGCAAAUUCGUGAAGCGUCCCAUAUUUUU